Molecule: long non-coding RNA, 285 nt
Organism: Ixodes scapularis (black-legged tick)
Lineage: Eukaryota; Metazoa; Arthropoda; Arachnida; Ixodida; Ixodidae
Exons: 3
Source: RefSeq, a predicted model, not a curated record
GGCUCAAUGGAAAUGAGUGCCUCUGGCUGUCGAAGUUUAGGGCAUCAAGAGCCAUCAAAGCCGUGAAACUCAGAGUCCCCAGAUUCGACAUACACAAGGCACAGCAUUGUGAUCCUGAGCAAGGAAGAUACUUUCCAGAAAGCAAGAUCGAAACUAAGGAAAGCGGAGGAUACUUAUAAUGUUGCAACAUCAACUGACCAAGUGGCGCUGUGUCAAAGGAGAGUAGUGAUCAUCCAACUGCAAGCAGCUCUGUGUGCCCGCCCUCAUCAAGCCCUCCAGGUAUGC